This 586-nucleotide unclassified non-coding RNA is filed under the name Hevea brasiliensis (rubber tree). Lineage: Eukaryota; Viridiplantae; Streptophyta; Magnoliopsida; Malpighiales; Euphorbiaceae. The record is from RNAcentral.
GGGCAUAAGAGGAGAGCAAUCAGCGGCGCACCCACAGAGUUGAUCGUCGCCGGCGUGAUGUCGUACCUGCUGCCGCAUCUUCACUCCGGCUGGGCCGUCGAUCAGGCGAUCCUCGCCGAGGAGGAGCGCCUCGUCGUCAUCCGCUUCGGCCACGACUGGGACGAAACUUGCAUGCAGAUGGAUGAGGUGCUAGCUGCUGUUGCAGAGACGAUAAAGAACUUUGCGGUGAUAUACCUGGUGGACAUUACGGAGGUGCCUGACUUCAACACGAUGUAUGAGCUGUAUGACCCUUCUACUGUGAUGUUCUUCUUCCGCAACAAACAUAUCAUGAUCGACCUGGGCACUGGUAAUAAUAACAAGAUCAACUGGGCGCUCAAGGAUAAGCAGGAAUUCAUCGAUAUCAUAGAGACAGUCUACAGGGGUGCCAGGAAAGGGCGUGGUCUGGUCAUCGCACCCAAAGAUUACUCCACCAAGUACCGUUACUGAACUGGCUGGAUGCUUAUUAAACUUAAAUACAUCAGACUUGUAGCACUAUAAUUACACUUGUGAGUUUCUAAAUUCGGUGCUGUAUUUGGUUGGAGUGUUG